GGUGUUGUGGCUCAGUGGUAGAGUGCUCGCCUAGCACACGUGAGGCACUGUGUUUGACCCUCAAUACCA
RNAcentral lists this transfer RNA (69 nucleotides) under Urocitellus parryii (Arctic ground squirrel). RNAcentral describes it as "Spermophilus parryii (Arctic ground squirrel) tRNA". It matches the Rfam family "tRNA". From Rfam's summary of the family: Transfer RNA (tRNA) molecules are approximately 80 nucleotides in length. Their secondary structure includes four short double-helical elements and three loops (D, anti-codon, and T loops). RNAcentral also lists the same sequence under 1 other name. Lineage: Eukaryota; Metazoa; Chordata; Mammalia; Rodentia; Sciuridae. The record is from Rfam by way of RNAcentral.